GACGAACGCUGGCGGCGUGCUUAACACAUGCAAGUCGAACGGAAAGGCCCUGCUCUUGUGGGGUUCUCGAUUGGCGAACGGGUGAGUAACACGUGAGUAACCUGUCCUUGUCUUUGGGAUAACUUCAGGAAACUGGGGCUAAUAUCGGAUAGGAGCUCCUGCUGCAUGGUGGUGGUUGGAAAGUUUCGGCGGUUGGGGAUGGACUAGCGGCUUAUCAGCUUGUUUGUGGGGUAGGUGCUUACCAAGGCUUUGACGGGUAGGCGGCCUGAGAGGGUGACCGGCCACAUUGGGACUGCGAUACGGCCCAGACUCCUACGGGAGGCAGCAGUGGGGAGUAUUGCACAAUGGGCGGAAGCCUGAUGCAGCAACGCCGCGUGCGGGAUGACGGCCUACGGGUUGUGAACCGCUUUCGCCUGUGACGAAGCGUGAGUGACGGUAAUGGGUAAAGAAGCACCGGCUAACUACGUG
RNAcentral lists this ribosomal RNA (468 nucleotides) under uncultured bacterium. RNAcentral's name for it is "partial 16S ribosomal RNA". It matches the Rfam family "Bacterial small subunit ribosomal RNA", at positions 28 to 507 of the family's 1533-position model. The record is from RNAcentral.